This 1167-nucleotide ribosomal RNA is filed under the name Lactobacillus amylovorus. RNAcentral's name for it is "bacterial SSU rRNA". It matches the Rfam family "Bacterial small subunit ribosomal RNA", at positions 38 to 1171 of the family's 1533-position model. Lineage: Bacteria; Bacillati; Bacillota; Bacilli; Lactobacillales; Lactobacillaceae. The record is from RNAcentral.
GGCAGGGCGGGUGCUAUACAUGCAAGUCGAGCGAGCGGAACCAACAGAUUUACUUCGGUAAUGACGUUGGGAAAGCGAGCGGCGGAUGGGUGAGUAACACGUGGGGAACCUGCCCCUAAGUCUGGGAUACCAUUUGGAAACAGGUGCUAAUACCGGAUAAUAAAGCAGAUCGCAUGAUCAGCUUUUGAAAGGCGGCGUAAGCUGUCGCUAAGGGAUGGCCCCGCGGUGCAUUAGCUAGUUGGUAAGGUAACGGCUUACCAAGGCGACGAUGCAUAGCCGAGUUGAGAGACUGAUCGGCCACAUUGGGACUGAGACACGGCCCAAACUCCUACGGGAGGCAGCAGUAGGGAAUCUUCCACAAUGGACGCAAGUCUGAUGGAGCAACGCCGCGUGAGUGAAGAAGGUUUUCGGAUCGUAAAGCUCUGUUGUUGGUGAAGAAGGAUAGAGGUAGUAACUGGCCUUUAUUUGACGGUAAUCAACCAGAAAGUCACGGCUAACUACGUGCCAGCAGCCGCGGUAAUACGUAGGUGGCAAGCGUUGUCCGGAUUUAUUGGGCGUAAAGCGAGCGCAGGCGGAAAAAUAAGUCUAAUGUGAAAGCCCUCGGCUUAACCGAGGAACUGCAUCGGAAACUGUUUUUCUUGAGUGCAGAAGAGGAGAGUGGAACUCCAUGUGUAGCGGUGGAAUGCGUAGAUAUAUGGAAGAACACCAGUGGCGAAGGCGGCUCUCUGGUCUGCAACUGACGCUGAGGCUCGAAAGCAUGGGUAGCGAACAGGAUUAGAUACCCUGGUAGUCCAUGCCGUAAACGAUGAGUGCUAAGUGUUGGGAGGUUUCCGCCUCUCAGUGCUGCAGCUAACGCAUUAAGCACUCCGCCUGGGGAGUACGACCGCAAGGUUGAAACUCAAAGGAAUUGACGGGGGCCCGCACAAGCGGUGGAGCAUGUGGUUUAAUUCGACGCAACGCGAAGAACCUUACCAGGUCUUGACAUCUAGUGCAAUCUGUAGAGAUACGGAGUUCCCUUCGGGGACGCUAAGACAGGUGGUGCAUGGCUGUCGUCAGCUCGUGUCGUGAGAUGUUGGGUUAAGUCCCGCAACGAGCGCAACCCUUGUUAUUAGUUGCCAGCAUUAAGUUGGGCACUCUAAUGAGACUGCCGGUGACAAACCGGAGGAA